AUACCUGCAUAAACGAAACAAUAUGAUCAAACAUAACUCACUUGCGUCUGGACACAGAAACAAACAUCAAAAUAUAUAUAUAAACUCUUGUUCAGUUAUCAAAACUAAUUUUUUUCAUUAGCUCUAAACAUUAAAACAUGCACGAUUGGUUGUUCAGCUAUAGAAAACAAAAGGCUUUGGAAUAUUCAGGGACAAAAUUUAGAAACACAUAAUGACAUAAUCAAGAAACAUAACAACAUCUUGCUUGUUUCUUAACAAAUCAGAUGCCGCAAACGUAUUGAUCUUAAGCAUGCUCUCAUCUCCUCUGCUUUUGAAGCUGGGCUUGGAGACAGCAGUAUUGUUCAAAGAGUCCAUGGGAGCAGCUGUAGAGAACAAAGAUAAGAUUCGGUGUAGUCUAUUGCUCUACUAUGUCGACGACGCUCUACUAUGUAGAGGAGAAGAAGAAGAUGCUCUGUGGUCGUUGAUCGAAGAAGAAAAAGUGAUGAGACGGAAAGAGAUGAAGAAACGAAAAGAAAAGAGAAGAGAAGAAGAAGGCGAGUCUUUGAUCACAUGCAAAAAAGAUGAGUUGUGUACAAGAACUUGUGAUUGUCGAUCGAAAGGGAAAAAACAUAGAGAGCAAUAAUGGCCAUAGGCCAUAGUCAUCACCCGAUCACCAUUUAGCUCUGUUCUCGGUGAGAAAAGUGCAGCGGGCCUCAAUGUUUGCCCGCAUCCCGCUUCGGCCCGUCCCGCUUCGGCCCAGUACCGCCGCGGUCCUGUCCCGCGAGACCCGCAACUAAACGGACCACAAUAUCUUUGCCCAAUCCCGCCCCGCAAUGGGUCUUUUCGGGUCAGGCCCGCGGGCAAGCCCUUGAACUGCCAUCUCUAUAUAUACCCCCUUUUUUUUGUUCAACACAACUGAGAUGUUCUUAAAGGGUUAUGUUUGGAAGUUAGUGUGUUUGGUCAGAUCCUUUGAAUUUAUUUUUCUUCUACUGAUUUCUUUCUGUUUUUUAUUUUGAAAAUAUAAUGAAUGUUGACUCCGAAGUCUGUGCUUUACACAAAUAAUAUGCCCUCCCUCUCUCUCUCUUCUCUGCCCCGGAAGUGAGUGUCCCUGUGCGUGCUAUGACGUUUGCGACAUUCACAAUGACGUCGUCCCUCUACACGUAAGCCCUUUUGUCUCUUUUCUUUGGUCUCCUUCAUCUCUUUUGAUGGGUCCACCCUGGACAUAAAUUAUAUUUUCAUAUGAGAACAAGCAAGCUAGUGGUAUUCUUGUAAAACCAUUUGAGAAACCACUAUAUCAAAGAAGAAUCGGGAGGAUCAAUAGAGGAUCUAGGGGAAUAUUCUGUCACUAAAAAAUGAGAUUCUUGUAUCAACUGUAGUAAAUAUUUGUUUUCGUUUUGUUUCUCUAUUUAUAAGUUAUAACACUAAUGUUGGUUCAACUUCUUCCUUUGGCCUUUCAAUAUUGAAUGGAGAUUUUUCUUCUCUUUUAGCUAUAGCUUUAGGGUUUUUCGUUUUAGUCCAGAAUGGAGAAUAUGUAAAGAGACGUUAAUUUUCAGAAGUUUCUUAACACUUCAACAUUUUUUUUUUUUUGGCAAAAGAAAGAGAAAAGAUUUACUGGAAAAAAUAGCGGAAAUUUAAAAAUGAACUAUUAUUUUUUGACAAAUCUUCUUUUUAAUAUCCCACGGAUGAAUACUCUUUUGCCUAAUAUGAGAAUCUUUAAUUUGCGAAAAUCAGAAAAUUUCUGAAGCUCUAUUUUAUGUUGAUAAUGAAUGAUAUUUCUCAUUUAACAAAAUGAUAGAGAGAGUUAUUCAAUCUUCGAAAGGAGAAG
Molecule: long non-coding RNA, 1804 nt
Organism: Brassica napus (rape)
Lineage: Eukaryota; Viridiplantae; Streptophyta; Magnoliopsida; Brassicales; Brassicaceae
Exons: 3
Source: RefSeq, a predicted model, not a curated record